AUGGCGCAGGAUAAUACCAAAUUGUGUGACUUUUCCAAUACCAAUAAUAAUGAUUUCCUUAGCACUCCGAUUGCUCCUCUUAAUGAUGUUGAAUCUUGUGAAAUCAAUGCUGCUUUGUUGAAUCUUGUUAUGAAAGGUCAAUUGUCCGGCCUUCCUAGUGUAGAUGCCGCUAGUCAUCUAAACAACUUUGUUGAUUUGUGUGAUAUGCAAAAGAAGAAAGAUACGGAUAAUGAUAUUGUUAAAUUGAAGUUAUUUCCAUUUUCACUUAGAGAUCGUGCUAAAACUUGGUUUUCGUGUUUGCCUAAGAAUAGUGUUGAUUCAUGGAAUAAGUGCAAAGAUGCUUUUAUCUCUAAGUAUUUUCUUCCCGCUAAGAUCAUCUCUCUUAAGAACGAUAUUAUGAAUUUUAAACAACUUGAUCAUGAGCAUGUUGCCCAAUCUUGGCAAAGAAUGAAAUUAAUGAUUCGCAAUUGCCCUACUCAUGGUUUGAACUUAUGGAUGAUCAUACAAAAAAUUUAUGCCGGAUUGAAUUUUGCUUCUAGAAAUCUUUUAGAUUCGGCCACGGGAGGCACUUUUAUGGAAAUCACCUUAGGAGAAGCUACUAAACUCCUUGAUAACAUUAUGGCUAAUUAUUCUCAAUGGCACACCGAAAGAUCUACUAGUAAAAAAGUGCAUGCUAUAGAAGAAUUAAUGUUUUGA
RNAcentral lists this ribosomal RNA (696 nucleotides) under Triticum aestivum (bread wheat). RNAcentral describes it as "partial small subunit ribosomal RNA". The record is from RNAcentral. Lineage: Eukaryota; Viridiplantae; Streptophyta; Magnoliopsida; Poales; Poaceae.